Molecule: ribosomal RNA, 301 nt
Filed under: uncultured bacterium
Lineage: Bacteria
Description: partial 16S ribosomal RNA
Rfam family: Bacterial small subunit ribosomal RNA
Source: RNAcentral
CAGCAGCCACGGGAAUACAGAGGGUGCAAGCGUUAAUCGGAAUUACUGGGCGUAAAGCGCGCGUAGGUGGUUCGCCAAGUUGGAUGUGAAAUCCCCGGGCUCAACCUGGGAACUGCAUCCAAAACUGGCGAGCUAGAGUAUGGUAGAGGGUGGUGGAAUUUCCUGUGUAGCGGUGAAAUGCGUAGAUAUAGGAAGGAACACCAGUGGCGAAGGCGACCACCUGGGCUCAUACUGACACUGAGGUGCGAAAGCGUGGGGAGCAAACAGGAUUAGAUACCCCAGUAGUCCCUGUCUCUUAUAC